Molecule: ribosomal RNA, 403 nt
Filed under: uncultured bacterium
Lineage: Bacteria
Description: bacterial SSU rRNA
Rfam family: Bacterial small subunit ribosomal RNA
Source: RNAcentral
UGGGGAAUAUUGGACAAUGGGGGCAACCCUGAUCCAGCAAUGCCGCGUGAGUGAUGAAGGCCUUAGGGUUGUAAAGCUCUUUUGGCGGGGACGAUAAUGACGGUACCCGCAGAAUAAGCCCCGGCUAACUUCGUGCCAGCAGCCGCGGUAAUACGAAGGGGGCGAGCGUUGUUCGGAAUUACUGGGCGUAAAGGGCGCGUAGGCGGCGAUCCUAGUCAGAUGUGAAAGUCCUGGGCUUAACCUGGGGACUGCAUUUGAUACUGGAUUGCUUGAAUGCAGGAGAGGAUAGCGGAAUUCCCAGUGUAGAGGUGAAAUUCGUAGAUAUUGGGAAGAACACCGGUGGCGAAGGCGGCUAUCUGGACUGUGAUUGACGCUGAGGCGCGAAAGCGUGGGGAGCAAACAG